UACAGAGGGUGCGAGCGUUGUCCGGAAUUACUGGGCGUAAAGAGCUCGUAGGUGGUUUUGUCGCGUUUGUCCGUGAAAAACUCACAACUCAAUUGUGGGCGUGCGGGCGAUACGGGCAGACUGGAGUACUGCAGGGGGAGACUGGAAUUCCUGGUGUAGCGGUGGAAUGCGCAGAUAUCAGGAGGAACACCGGUGGCGAAGGCGGGGUCUCUGGGCAGUAACUACGUGAGGAGCGAAAAGC
This 241-nucleotide ribosomal RNA is filed under the name uncultured bacterium. RNAcentral's name for it is "partial 16S ribosomal RNA". It matches the Rfam family "Bacterial small subunit ribosomal RNA", at positions 524 to 761 of the family's 1533-position model. The record is from RNAcentral.